RNAcentral lists this ribosomal RNA (510 nucleotides) under uncultured bacterium. Its description in RNAcentral is "partial 16S ribosomal RNA". It matches the Rfam family "Bacterial small subunit ribosomal RNA", at positions 28 to 507 of the family's 1533-position model. The record is from RNAcentral.
GACGAACGCUGGCGGCGUGCUUAACACAUGCAAGUCGAACGAAGAGCGAUGGAAGCUUGCUUCUAUCAAUCUUAGUGGCGAACGGGUGAGUAACGCGUAAUCAACCUGCCCUUCAGAGGGGGGCAACAGUUGGAAACGACUGCUAAUACCGCAUACGAUCUAACCUCGGCAUCGAGGAUAGAUGAAAGGUGGCCUCUACAUGUAAGCUAUCACUGAAGGAGGGGAUUGCGUCUGAUUAGCUAGUUGGAGGGGUAACGGCCCACCAAGGCGAUGAUCAGUAGCCGGUCUGAGAGGAUGAACGGCCACAUUGGGACUGAGACACGGCCCAGACGCCUACGGGAGGCAGCAGUGGGGAAUCUUCCGCAAUGGACGAAAGUCUGACGGAGCAACGCCGCGUGAGUGAUGACGGCCUUCGGGUUGUAAAGCUCUGUUAAUCGGGACGAAAGGCCUUCUUGCGAAUAGUGAGAAGGAUUGACGGUACCGGAAUAGAAAGCCACGGCUAACUACGUG